UACGUAGGGAGCAAGUGUUAUCCGGAUUUACUGGGUGUAAAGGGCGCGCAGGCGGGCCGGCAAGUUGGAAGUGAAAUCCGGGGGCUUAACCCCCGAACUGCUUUCAAAACUGCUGGUCUUGAGUGAUGGAGAGGCAGGCGGAAUUCCGUGUGUAGCGGUGAAAUGCGUAGAUAUACGGAGGAACACCAGUGGCGAAGGCGGCCUGCUGGACAUUAACUGACGCUGAGGCGCGAAAGCGUGGGGAGCAAACAGG
This 253-nucleotide ribosomal RNA is filed under the name Agathobaculum desmolans. Its description in RNAcentral is "partial 16S ribosomal RNA". It matches the Rfam family "Bacterial small subunit ribosomal RNA", at positions 524 to 776 of the family's 1533-position model. The record is from RNAcentral. Lineage: Bacteria; Bacillati; Bacillota; Clostridia; Eubacteriales; Butyricicoccaceae.